AGUGAACGCUGGCGGUAGGCCUAACACAUGCAAGUCGAACGGCAGCACAGUAAGGGCUUGCUCUUACGGGUGGCGAGUGGCGGACGGGUGAGGAAUACAUCGGAAUCUACUUUUUCUUGGGGGAUAACGUAGGGAAACUUACGCUAAUACCGCAUACGACCUACGGGUGAAAUCAGGGGAUCUUCGGACCUUGCGCGAUUGAAUGAGCCGAUGUCGGAUUAGUUAGUUGGCGGGGUAAAGGCCCACCAAGGCGACGAUCCGUAGCUGGUCUGAGAGGAUGAUCAGCCACACUGGAAAUGAGACACGGUCCAGACUCCAACGGGAGGCAGCAGUGGGGGAUAUUGGACAAUGGGCGCAAGCCUGAUCCAGCCAUACCGCGUGGGUGAAGAAGGCCUUCGGGUUGUAAAGCCCUUUUGUUGGGAAAGAAAAGCAGCAGGUUAAUACCCCGCUGUUCUGACGGUACCCAAAGAAUAAGCACCGGCGAAAUUCGUGC
Molecule: ribosomal RNA, 493 nt
Filed under: uncultured bacterium
Lineage: Bacteria
Description: partial 16S ribosomal RNA
Rfam family: Bacterial small subunit ribosomal RNA
Source: RNAcentral